CCCAGCGGUAGCCGGGGGAGCAACAGCCCCGCGCCCCUUCGGGGCGCGGGGUCGGGGCCUGGGGUCGGGGCCUAGCGUCGCGU
This 83-nucleotide transfer RNA is filed under the name Streptomyces morookaense. RNAcentral's name for it is "tRNA-Glu". Lineage: Bacteria; Bacillati; Actinomycetota; Actinomycetes; Kitasatosporales; Streptomycetaceae. The record is from RNAcentral.